CAGAUAGUAAUUUAAAUAUAAAAUACCGACCUUGGGUGUCAACAAUCGCUCUAGCGCUAUCUGA
This 64-nucleotide transfer RNA is filed under the name Tonoscolex birmanicus. Its description in RNAcentral is "tRNA-Pro". The record is from RNAcentral. Lineage: Eukaryota; Metazoa; Annelida; Clitellata; Crassiclitellata; Megascolecidae.